Molecule: non-coding RNA, 370 nt
Organism: Pelobates cultripes (western spadefoot toad)
Lineage: Eukaryota; Metazoa; Chordata; Amphibia; Anura; Pelobatidae
Source: the annotation of a GenBank genome assembly
GUUUGUUCUUUGAAGUCAUCUCUUAUUGUAUAUUGGAAUAUUUUUUAACCAGUUUUUAUGAUGACAACUGAAGAACUCAAUAUAACCAUUGGUGUCUGUGGGUUUAAAAAAAGUUCUUCUACAGACUUUUCCAUCUUGAAUAAACAGCGUUAAAUCUAAGAAAUUAAUUGAGGAUCCUCCCCUUUCAACUGUAAAUUUCAACCCAUAAGAGUUCGAGUUAAUGUAAUCCAAAAAGAGUUGUAACUCUUCCUUCCCACCUUCCCAAUCUUUGAGUACAUCAUCAACAUACUGUUUCCAGGACACCAGGUUCGCAUCAAAUGGAUUAUUGGUCCAGAUAUUUUUCGACUCCCAAUCAGCCACAAAAAUAUUG